Molecule: ribosomal RNA, 427 nt
Filed under: uncultured bacterium
Lineage: Bacteria
Description: partial 16S ribosomal RNA
Rfam family: Bacterial small subunit ribosomal RNA
Source: RNAcentral
UGGGGAAUAUUGCACAAUGGGCGCAAGCCUGAUGCAGCCAUGCCGCGUGUAUGAAGAAGGCCUUCGGGCUGUAAAGUACUUUCAGCGGGGAGGAAGGCGAUAAGGUUAAUAACCUUGUCGAUUGACGUUACCCGCAGAAGAAGCACCGGCUAACUCCGUGCCAGCAGCCGCGGUAAUACGGAGGGUGCAAGCGUUAAUCGGAAUUACUGGGCGUAAAGCGCACGCAGGCGGUCUGUCAAGUCGGAUGUGAAAUCCCCGGGCUCAACCUGGGAACUGCAUUCGAAACUGGAAGGCUAGAGUCUUGUAGAGGGGGGUAGAAUUCCAGGUGUAGCGGUGAAAUGCGUAGAGAUCUGGAGGAAUACCGGUGGCGAAGGCGGCCCCCUGGACAAAGACUGACGCUCAGGUGCGAAAGCGUGGGGAGCAAACA